UAAGGAAUAUUGGACAAUGGAGGCAACUCUGAUCCAGCCAUGCCGCGUGAAGGAAUAAGGCCCUAUGGGUUGUAAACUUCUUUUAGACGGGACAAAACCCCUUUACGUGUAAAGGGUUGAUGGUACUGUCAGAAUAAGCAUCGGCUAACUUCGUGCCAGCAGCCGCGGUAAUACGAAGGAUGCAAGCGUUAUCCGGAAUUAUUGGGUUUAAUGGGUGCGUAGGCGGACUAAUCAGUCAGUGGUGAAAGCCUGCAGCUUAACUGCAGAAUUGCCAUUGAUACUGUUAGUCUUGAGUACAGUUGAGGUAGGCGGAAUGUGUCAUGUAGCGGUGAAAUGCUUAGAUAUGACACAGAACACCGAUUGCGAAGGCAGCUUGCUAAGCUGUAACUGACGCUGAGGCACGAAAGCGUG
Molecule: ribosomal RNA, 411 nt
Filed under: uncultured bacterium
Lineage: Bacteria
Description: bacterial SSU rRNA
Rfam family: Bacterial small subunit ribosomal RNA
Source: RNAcentral